This 634-nucleotide small RNA is filed under the name Pongo abelii (Sumatran orangutan). Its description in RNAcentral is "retained intron". The record is from RNAcentral. Lineage: Eukaryota; Metazoa; Chordata; Mammalia; Primates; Hominidae.
GUGACAUCACAUCCACUAACCAAAUGGGGUGGUGUGAGUAUCUCUUGUAAAAUAAAAUUUCUCCUGAUGGCCUCUUCCUGCACAUUUCCUGAGGACGCCCUCGAUCACAAGCAGCUUGCUGGAUGAAUAAAGGGAAGAAGGUUUAUAUAUGCUAAGAGUAGAAAUGUUUUGGGAUAGUUCAUGAUUUCAAAAAGCUUCAGAGAAAAUAAAGAUGCUUAAUGUAGAGUACAAAACAUGUUCUCCCUGCAGUCUCACGAAUUGUGAACAAAAACUGAAGUGAAAACUCCCAGUGCAUAACUCGUCAAUACUCCUGUGAUCAUAUAACCAUCAGCAAGAAAACAAAUUUGAUUGAGCCCCCAUCCAGUCCUCUUUGCGUGGAAUCAGACCUCUUUCGCAGUGGAAAGGAGCAGGUAAAACAAAUAAGCAGAGGCACAAAAUCAUCACCAAACCAGACUCACUGAAAUGCCAACACUGGCAUGUGCGCAGACAUUUUCUACCCUAGACUUACUUCUAAACAGCAAUGCCGACAAGCGUGAAAGGUGAAAAAAUGUGGAUAAAUACAUGUUUGGUUUAUUGAACUAGGUCUUAUCACAUCCAAAUUAAAAACAAAAGGCACAUCUCAAUUUCAAAAUAA